This is a long non-coding RNA of Leucoraja erinaceus (little skate), 566 nucleotides long. RefSeq lists it as uncharacterized. The record is from RefSeq and is a predicted model, not a curated record. Lineage: Eukaryota; Metazoa; Chordata; Chondrichthyes; Rajiformes; Rajidae. The transcript has 2 exons.
UGGGGGCUCCGUCCAGCCGCGGGCGGCGCCGGUUGGAGCUCCGACCCCGGCAACUCUACCCCUGGCUGCGCGGCUCCAAAUCCAGCGACGCUCCGCGAUGUUGUGUGUCGGCGGCCACAGCGUUCCGGAGCUUGCCGCACGGUGACCCGGUAAGGCAUUGCCCGCUCCCCGCUGGUACCCCGACGCCGCCGACUCCCAACAUUCACGGAGCUGGGGCGUCCGGCCGCGGGCCGCGCUGGAUUUGGAGCGCCUCGCAGCCAGGGGUAGAGUUGCCGGGGUCGGAGCUACAACCGGCGUCGCCCACAGCCCCACCGGCCACAGCGCUGCGGAGCUUACUGCACGGCGACCCGGUAAGGCAUUGACCGCUCCCCGCCUCUCCGACCAGAUGUUUAAGCGUCUCCCGGUCUCCGGGGAGGAGGCAGCCGCUACAGUAGUACAGACCUGGGUUGACCGUGGGUCGUUUUGGGUCAGGUUUGGCGCCAAACGCGAGCUUUGGUGCGCAGACGACAUCUGGAAAAAAUGGCCGGUUUUCGGAGCUUUUCGGUUUCUGGAACACCGGAUAAAAG